AAUGCACACAUUCAUUCAAGUUACAGACCAUGUAACUAAGCAUAGGACCACUAGACAAAGCAAGUGCAACAAUAUCCGUAGGAUAGUUAUGGGUAUCAUAACCUAUGGGAGCUUGUACGGAAUAAAUGUUGGCAUUUGUGAUUCUAAUCCGGGUGGUUUUGAAGCGGUAUGGUUCAGUAAUGUGGUUGUGCAUUUGUUGAGAAAGUUUAUAGCAUGUGUUUGUGUUGAACUAGCAUGAUAGGUGAGGUUCGCAAUAGCGCUAAUGUGAGUUUCAGUUUGCUAGCUAGCAAGACAGCUCAUGUUUUUUUGGUCAACAGAAAUGUUUGGUGUACCCGUGAAGGUAGUCAGUUGUUUGCAGCUGGGAGUCGUUAGCUACUGUAGGGCUGAUAAGUUGUUUUGCUCAUGGGCCGGAACAUUUUGUGUUUACUGUUUUGGCAGCUUUUGUUAGUGCUGUUUGCAGGAUUACAUUACCCAGUUUGGAGUCAGUGGCGCGUGUAUUAGUGUUAGCGUUAGGCUCGUGGCAAAUGUUUGCUAUGGUACGUAGCUUUGGUAAAUCAGGGUGUGUUAGUGCUAAGCUAGUGGCUAACCUUGGCUAUGGUUUGUAGCGUUUGUGCAUGGCAUGCUGGUUUAGAUUUGAAUGGAUAUGUCUGGAUCUUGGAACGCAUGCAUGUAUAGGUUGGUUAGCAGUGAGCUAAUGGCUACCUGUGACUUUUGUCAGUCGAUUUAUUAGUUCUGUUUAACCUAUUGAUUUUGACUAUGGGUGCAUUUGAGCCAGCAGUGUUUUGUGCUGAUUGUAGGGGAUAGUUUGGGUUUUUCUCAAUCUAAUGAAGGAGACCACGAAGAUCUCCCCCACAACACGAGCCCGAGGGGGGCGCAAAACCCGACAGGAAGAUCACGUCACUGACUCAACCCACUCAAAUAGUAUAGCGGGGGAAAACGCCUGGUAUGAUGUGGUGCACCCUUCCUAGGAAUGGCAUGGGAGAGCGCGAGCAAGCCAAUGACUCAGUCCUCAUAACAGGGUCAGAGGCAGAGAGGGGAGCCAGACAGGCAGAGACAGCAAGGGUGGUUCGUCACUCCAGUGCCUUGCAGUUCACCUUCGCACCUGGGGGCCAGACUACACUCAAUCAUAGGACCUACGUCUUCAGUAAAGACUUAAAGGUUGAGACCGAGUCUGCGUCUCUCACAUGGAUCGGAAGACCAUUCCAUAAAAAUGGAACUCUCUAGGAGAAAGCCCUGCCUUCAGCUGUUUACUUGGAAAUUCUUUGAACAAUAAUGAGGAAUGCGUCUUGUAACCGUAGCGUACAUGUAGGUAUGUACGGCAGGACCAAAUCGGAGAGAUGGGUGGGAGGAAGGUCCAUGUAAAGCUUUGUAGGUUAACAGUAAAAACUUGAAAUUAAGCCUUAACAGGAAGUCAGUAAUAUGAUCAAAUGUUUUGGUUCUUGUCAAGAUUCUAGCAGUUGUAUUUAGAAUUUGCCAACUUUUAUUUAGUGCAUUAUCUGGGUAGCCGGAGACUAGAGCAUUGCAGUAAUCUGAUCUUGAAAGGACAAAAGCAUGGAUGAGCUUUUCUGCAUCAUUUUUGGACAAAUAUUUUGCAUUUUUGCGAUGUUACUGAGAUGGAAAAAAUAGUAAUGACAAGGUCUUUCAGUUUUAUUUGAGACAGCCAUCGAGAUUCAUUGUCAGAUCCGACAGCAGAUCUCUUUGUUUCUUGGGACCUAGAACAAGCAUUUCCGUUUGGUCCGAGUUCAAAAGUAAAGCAUUUGCCGACAUCCACUUCCUUAUGUCUGAAACACAGGCUUCCAGGCUAGAUCAUUUUGGGGCUUCACCAUGUCAUACUGAAAUGUACAUCUGUGUGUCUUCUGCAUACCAGUGAAAGUUGACAUUGUGUUUCCUAAUGACAUCACCAAGAGGUAGCAUAUAUAGUGGAAACAAUGGUGGUCAUAGGACAGAAGGUUGAGGAACACUGAAACUUACCAUUGAUUUAUCAGAGGACAAACCACCCACAGGGACAAACUGAUAUAUUUCCAACAGAUAAGAUCUAAACCAGGCAAGAACUUGUCCGAGUAGACCAAUUAGGGUUUCUGAUAUCUCCAAAGGAAUGUGGUGAUUGAUGGUGUCCAAAGCGCCACUGAGGUUUAGGAGUAUGGAAACAGAUGCAGAGCUUUGGUCUGACGCCAUUGUAACGUCAUUUACCACCUUCACGAGCGCCGUCUCAGUACUAUGAUGUGGUCUAAAACCAGACUGGAGCUUUUUGUAUACCUUAUUUGUCUAUAAGAAGGCAGUGAGCAACAGCUUUUCUCAUGUUUUUGAGAGGAAUGGGAGAAUCCAUAUAGGCUGAUAGUAAAAUAUUUCCGGGUUGAGGUUUGGCUUUUUUUACUGCCACUUUUAGUGAGUUUGGGACACAUCCAUAGGAUAGGAAAGACAAAAAGACUCACAGCUGUAAUCGCUGCCAAAGGUGAUUCUAACAUGUAUUGACUCUGGGGUGAAGAGUGUGCAAAGCCGUCAUCAAGGCAAAGGGUGGCUACUUUGAAGAAUCUCAAAUAUCAAAUAUAUUUGGUUCGCUUAACACUUUUUGGGUUACUACAUGAUUCCAUAUGUUACAUUAUAGUUUUGAUGUCUUCACUGUUACUCUAAAAUAUAGAAG
Long non-coding RNA from Oncorhynchus tshawytscha (Chinook salmon), 2641 nucleotides. The record is from Ensembl. NCBI's taxonomy places the organism in Eukaryota, Metazoa, Chordata, Actinopteri, Salmoniformes, Salmonidae.